UACAAAGAACAUCAUCAACAUAAAAUACAAUUCAUGAAUACAACCGCAACAGAAAGACAACACAAAAUUUCAAUCACAUCCAACCGCAUAGAAAGAUAACGCUCAUCAUGACAUCUUGCUUCACUUUCUAAUGAACUUGCUUAUGAGAAUGCUCAUUUGCAAAGAAACCCUGCUAUGAGACAUAGAAAAAGGUCUUCAUCAUCCUUUGUCAGGUGAACAGACCACAAAACCACAAA
Molecule: long non-coding RNA, 236 nt
Filed under: Malus domestica (apple)
Lineage: Eukaryota; Viridiplantae; Streptophyta; Magnoliopsida; Rosales; Rosaceae
Description: long non-coding RNA (MDOM_LNC010236)
Source: RNAcentral